Molecule: transfer RNA, 115 nt
Filed under: Diplodiscus japonicus
Lineage: Eukaryota; Metazoa; Platyhelminthes; Trematoda; Plagiorchiida; Diplodiscidae
Description: tRNA-Leu
Source: RNAcentral
AUGUAAGGGGUAUAGUAUAGUGUAAGUAAGUUUAAUAUGAGUGCCAGAGGUGUUUAUGGGUUGGUUUUAAGCAUCAAAUACGGGUUUAAACCCCUUGUAUAAAAAUUAUUGUAUU